AACUUAGGUAUCGUACCGACUAAAGAUUGACGGACACAUUCGAUACAAUAAUAUCCGAUCAACUUGAAAACUAAUCACUAACUUAAUCCGAGAUUAAAUUUUAUUUCCUCUAUUCAAUUUAAAAAUAUAGUAUACUUGCUUAGUCAAUAAAAUAUAUAAAUAUAAACCAAACACAUCAUAUUGAAGAAACAUACUUAUGAAAUGACUACAUAGCAU
This is a non-coding RNA of Cinara cedri, 216 nucleotides long. Lineage: Eukaryota; Metazoa; Arthropoda; Insecta; Hemiptera; Aphididae. The record is from the annotation of a GenBank genome assembly.